This 124-nucleotide ribosomal RNA is filed under the name Rhodanobacter denitrificans. RNAcentral describes it as "partial 23S ribosomal RNA". It matches the Rfam family "Bacterial large subunit ribosomal RNA", at positions 2802 to 2925 of the family's 2925-position model. The record is from RNAcentral. Lineage: Bacteria; Pseudomonadati; Pseudomonadota; Gammaproteobacteria; Lysobacterales; Rhodanobacteraceae.
AGAGCUUGACUCUCCUUAAGGCACCAUCAAGACCAGGUGGUUGAUAGGUCAGGUGUGGAAGCGCAGCAAUGCGUUGAGCUAACUGAUACUAAUGAGCCGUGCGGCUUGACCAUAUAACCCCAAG